GAAACUACAAAGGAAAGUUAGGACGGGGACCCGGCCGACAAGCGGUGGAGCAUGUGGUUUAAUUCGAAGAUACGCGAAGAACCUUACCUGGCCUUGACAUUGAUAGAAUCUGGUAGAGAUACUGGAGUGCUAGCUUGCUAGAACUUGAAAACAGGUGCUGCACGGCUGUCGUCAGCUCGUGUCGUGAGAUGUUGGGUUAAGUCCCGCAACGAGCGCAACCCUCGUCGUUAGUUGCUAACAGUUAGGCUGAGAACUCUAACGAGACUGCCUUCGUAAGGAGGGGGAAGGUGAGGACGACGUCAAGUCAUCAUGGCCCUUACGGCCAGGGCUACACACGCGCUACAAUGGGGUGUACAGAAAGCUGCAAUAUCGCGAGAUGGAGCAAAUCUCAAAAACACCUCCCAGUUCGGAUUGUUCUCUGCAACUCGAGAACAUGAAGUUGGAAUCGCUAGUAAUCGUAGAUCAGCAUUGCUACGGUGAAUACGUUCCCGGGUCUU
Molecule: ribosomal RNA, 497 nt
Filed under: uncultured Arcobacter sp.
Lineage: Bacteria; Pseudomonadati; Campylobacterota; Epsilonproteobacteria; Campylobacterales; Arcobacteraceae
Description: bacterial SSU rRNA
Rfam family: Bacterial small subunit ribosomal RNA
Source: RNAcentral